This 135-nucleotide small RNA is filed under the name Peribacillus simplex. RNAcentral describes it as "ydaO/yuaA leader". It matches the Rfam family "c-di-AMP riboswitch aptamer (ydaO/yuaA leader)", at positions 11 to 130 of the family's 134-position model. Rfam says of the family: This family represents a conserved RNA structure found upstream of the ydaO and yuaA genes in Bacillus subtilis and related genes in other bacteria. The ydaO/yuaA element is thought to act as a genetic "off" switch for the ydaO and yuaA genes in its native state. Lineage: Bacteria; Bacillati; Bacillota; Bacilli; Caryophanales; Bacillaceae. The record is from RNAcentral.
UAACGCGCUGAAUCUUUAUGAACGGGAAACCAGAUCAUGAUGAUGUUUUGUCAUUGAGAUGAAUCCAUCUUUUUUGGAAGGGCGACUCUUACCGCCCGAAUCCGACAGCUAACCUCGUAAGCGUUGUUGAGAGAG